AACGUCUUUAAUACAGUGUCAGCAGAUAAAUAGGUGUGUAUUUUUAAAAGUAAUAUUCAAAGGUCAGGUUCCAGGAAUGUAAGGAUGGUUUAACAUGAAAAAAUCUAUUAAUAUAGUAUGCUCUUUUAAUAGAUCAAAUGAUGAAAAAUCAUAUGAUUGUCUUUAUACAUCAAAAGAUAAUAUUUAACACAUAUGCAAGGCUAACAAGUCUUAUUAAAAUAGAUGGAAAGAUGCCUUGUAGUAAGAUAUGAGAUAAAAACCACAAUACAUUCAUGUUAUAUAUAUAUGUCUGUCACAUGUGUGCAUACAUCAUACUCCACAUCUCUAAGUCACAUAUGUCUUAUCACUGCAUUGAAACAAUAGCCAAUGUCAUGUUCGAUGGUGCAAUAUGUGAAUAGAGGACUUUUCUCAACAGCAUCUAACAUUGUUCUGGAAAUCCUGUAGUCACAGCUACUGGGGAGGCUGAGGAGGGAGGAUUUCUUGCACCCAGGUGUUUGAGGCAAGCCUGGGCAACAUAGUGAGAUGCCCCAUCCCCAUGUGGAGCUCAGUUUCUAGAGGGGAAGACAGAUGAAGCAAAUCAGCAGACGUAAGUGCUUGAGGCACUGUAGAUGUAGGUGAAGAAUAUUGAGAGCUGGUGGGAAGGGACACGCUCUCUGAAGGGGAAGCAGAGGGAGGACCUUUGGGAAGUGGGUAUGGAUCCCUAGGGGAAGAGAGCUCUAGGCAAGGGAACAAGUGGUGCAAAGACCAUGAGCUAGGGUCAUGCCUGACGUGCUUCAGGAACAGCAGUAGGGCCCAUAAGGCUGGACCAGAUCUGCGGAGACAGACAGGAACACGUGCAGCAAACUGAGGAGGAGCCCACAUAGAGGUUCAUCCCGCUAGUCCAGGCUGUGGUUAAGAUUGCGGUUUCUUCCUGAUGUGAUCCCUUGGAUCCUGACGGGGAUAUGAGAUGUAUUUGUUCACACCACGGGCUGCUGAGCUGGCCUUGCACCUCCACAUCCCUGGACAGGCUUG
This 1011-nucleotide long non-coding RNA is filed under the name Homo sapiens (human). RNAcentral describes it as "HSALNT0084548". Lineage: Eukaryota; Metazoa; Chordata; Mammalia; Primates; Hominidae. The record is from RNAcentral.